This is a non-coding RNA of Leptonychotes weddellii (Weddell seal), 1164 nucleotides long. The record is from RefSeq and is a predicted model, not a curated record. Lineage: Eukaryota; Metazoa; Chordata; Mammalia; Carnivora; Phocidae.
AUGAGGGUCCCAGCUCUUGAGCUAAGUGAGAGGCAUGCUGUGCAGCUGGCCAGGAUAUUACAGGCUAUUGGAGCUGUGGAUGAGAAAGAGGAGCGGGCAGAGGAGCACUGUCCUGAAUUCGUCCCCACUGAGAUGAAGGAAAGAGAGGAAGAGGAAAUGUCCAGUCCUAGUGCUAAGAUCCCAGUCACAAUUAUCACUGGGUAUUUAGGUGCUAGGAAGACAAUACUUUUGAACUAUAUCUUGACAGAGCAACAUAGUAAAAGAGGAGCGGUUAUUUUAAACAAAUUUGGGGAAGGAAAUACAGUGGAGAAAUCCUUAGAUGUCAGCCAAAGUGGAACACUCUACCAAGAAAGAUUGAAACUUAUAAACGUUUGCCUCUGCUGUUCAGUAAAGGACAGUGGCCUUGGAGCUAAUGAGAAUCUGAUGCAGAAGAAGGGAAAAUUUGAUGACAUACCAUUAGAUAGCAGUGGAUUAGCAGAUCCUGGUGCUGUAGCUUCUCUGUUUUGGGUUGAUGCUGAAUUAGGGAUUGAUAUUUAUCUUGCCGGGAUCAUAACUCUUAUGGAUUCAAAAUAUGGAUUAAAACAUUUAGCAGAAGAAAAACCUGUUGGCCUUAUCCAUGAGGCUUCUAGGCAAGCUGCUCUGGCAGAUAUCAUCAUCAUUAAUAAAACAGACUGGGUUUCACAAGAGGAUUUAAGCAAAUUAAGAACGAUCAUUAGAUCAAUAAAUGACUGGGAAAAUUUUUAAAAACACAAAGAUCAAGUUUGCAGAAAAAGCUCCAACACUUACCAACCACGCACCCUCACUCUGAUUAGAGCAUUAUCACAGUCACACAUUUAAGUACCAGGAAACAUGAAGGAAGAAAGUCUAAAUAUAUUAUUCAGAAUCUUCUGUGGGAGAAGAAUGUGAGAAACAAGGACAUUGACUACAUGGGGCUGGUUUUGAUCAAAGACAAACCAAAACCAGUGAUCGUCCAAGGUGUCCAUGAGCUCUGUGACCUGGAGGAGACCAGUGAGCUGGAAAGAAGAUGCUGAGACAACAAAUCAAUCAGUUCUUAUUGAUGGGAAUUUAGACGAGGACAUCCUUCAAUAACUACUUAUAGGUACUGUGACUGAAACAGAAAAGUGGUGGACAACACAUUUCAAAGAAGAUCAAGUUUGCCCAUAA